This 275-nucleotide ribosomal RNA is filed under the name uncultured bacterium. RNAcentral describes it as "partial 16S ribosomal RNA". It matches the Rfam family "Bacterial small subunit ribosomal RNA", at positions 399 to 691 of the family's 1533-position model. The record is from RNAcentral.
GCGUGGGUGAUGAAGGCCUUCGGGUUGUAAAGCCCUUUCGCCGGGGACGAUAGUGACGGUACCCGGAGAAGAAGCCUCGGCUAACUCCGUGCCAGCAGCCGCGGUAAGACGGAGGAGGCUAGCGUUGUUCGGAAUUACUGGGCGUAAAGCGCGCGCAGGCGGUCCUGCAAGUCAGGGGUGAAAGCCCGGGGCUCAACCUCGGAACUGCCCUUGAGACUGCGGGACUCGAGACCGGGAGAGGAGAGUGGAAUUCCCAGUGUAGAGGUGAAAUUCGU